This is a non-coding RNA of Fukomys damarensis (Damara mole-rat), 72 nucleotides long. NCBI's taxonomy places the organism in Eukaryota, Metazoa, Chordata, Mammalia, Rodentia, Bathyergidae. The record is from Rfam.
UGAGGUGUAGCUCAAUGGUAGAGUGCUUGCGUAGCCUGUAAGAGGGCCUGAGUUCAAUCCCCAGCACCAAAA